GUGAUUAUAGCUCAGUUGGUUAGAGCGCUGGAUUGUGAUUCCAGAGGUCGCCGGUUCAAAUCCGGUUAGUCACCCA
Molecule: transfer RNA, 76 nt
Filed under: Bacteroidota bacterium
Lineage: Bacteria; Pseudomonadati; Bacteroidota
Description: Bacteroidetes bacterium tRNA-His
Rfam family: tRNA
About the family: Transfer RNA (tRNA) molecules are approximately 80 nucleotides in length.
Source: RNAcentral